CGGGCCCCGGGCGGGCGGGAGGGACGGGACGCGGUGCAGUGUUGUUCUUUCCCCUGCCAAUAUUGCACUCGUCCCGGCCUCCGGCCCCCUCGGCCC
MicroRNA precursor from Bos grunniens (domestic yak), 96 nucleotides. The record is from Ensembl. Lineage: Eukaryota; Metazoa; Chordata; Mammalia; Artiodactyla; Bovidae.